GAUAGUUGGACAAAGGCCGGGGAUGAAAAGACAGAAGAUGUGAGGCAAAAGGAUGGAUGAGUUGCUUUGAUAUCUGAUUUUUCUCUCAUGUUUGUCUUUUACAUUGUGGGGGAAGUGAUUCUCAUGGGUUCAGAUAAAGGCAUCAGAAUUCAAGGCACAUUGCCUCAGCCUACCCAGGGUUCAUGUUUUGAACUUAAAAGCCUUAUGAUACUCCAGCUGGAGAGAGUGAUCUUAUACCCUCACACAUGCUAAAGCUGUCGCUGUGCAAUGUUUUCACAAUGUAAAUAUUUUGGCCUUGCAUCCUUUGAGCAGAGGCUCAGAGCUGCCUUGUGAACUAUGUGUUGAUACAUGUCUUUGUUUUCAUUUCCCUAUCGGCAAUUAUCAGGAACUUGAUUUUAACUCUUUUCAGCACACUAAACACAUUUAGCCGUAUUCUACAUUGCAAAGUUAGACUUUCCUUAAACUCACCUUAAACCUGCCGCUUGGUCUAACUAAACCCAACACUCGGUUUAAGAAAAAUUUGGUAUUCUGAUAGCGAGGUUUAGUUAGACUAAAGUCUAAGGCGAGUCUAACUUUAGACUUUGGUUUUAGCUGAAUCUAGUAAGACAGCGUUUUAGUUGCCAUGGUGACGAUGUCUGCUUGUAUUGCACAUGUGCAAUGCAAUAGCAGAAGCACGAGCAGACGACAAGUUCAACAUGGCUGACAAAAAAGACAGCGGCAAGGAAACUGGGACGCCAGCGAGAAAGAAUUUCUCCUGACGUUACUAGCUGAUAAAAUUACAUUUAUCGAGAAAAAAAGGUGCAAUUUCCAGGCAACAAUUGAAAAGAACAAGGUAUGGGAUGCGAUUUAUUCGCAAUUCCAGUCGCGGUUUGGCAGCCGCAGAGAUCUUCGGGACCUUCGUGAGCAAUGGAAGAGAAUUCAAGUUGCAAGCGAAGGUAGAGUGUCUUCUCACAAGAAGAGCGUGGGGCAAACGGGUGGAGUCCCACCAUCUCCCAACCCAACACCCAUGUGUAUGCUUAUCAGGGAUCCGAUCACCCACGAUUUCUUACAGAUCAGAAAUCCGUUCGAUGAUGAUGCGGACAUUUCACAGCAAAAUGAGGAGGCUGUGACAGUUUUGGAGUUCCUGACUGGUGCCGGAGAGGCAAACAAGUAAGUGAUAAUGUCUAAAUUUAGGUUACCGUGAGUGAUGUUGUCUCGUGUUUAAUGUAAAGUGGUCCGUAAUUAUAUUAUUCCCUGGCGAGGACGUGACUAUUCUCCGAGUCGUGUCCUCGCCCCCCUCCUCGCAGCCUACUACCUGGAUUGGAGCGGCCUUUCCUGCCGGGGACCCGGAUACAUCGUGGAGCGGGUGAUGGCUUACCUGGAUCGCCUUGGAAGCUCUGGAGUGUUGAGCCUGCUGCAUCUGAAUCGGAGCUGUGGUCAACAGAGCUUCCAACAUCACCUUCGCCGAGGGCCGCCAGCGUUGAAUCUCCACCCAGCGCGGCCUGUUGUCCUCGGAAGCCACGGACUCUGGUAGGAGGCGGCCAACUCGGAUGCCCAAGCCGCGGAAAUGUGGUAAAAAGAAUGUGAUGUGACAAAAUAUUGGUGGAAUAGGUGGGCCACUACUGUCAUCCAUCCCAAGGCCCUGUGUGGCAAAGCAUAUAGGCCUUAUUUUUCUUAACAGUGAAACAACAUAGUUCAGUCAGUGAGCAUUUGCUUUUCUUGAUCUUUUCCAAAACCAACAAGUCUGAAGAACGUGAAGGAACACAAGAGUUUGACAUCCCAAACCCACCCGAGGAAGAUUUUCAACUGUUGGAACCAGCUCAUGUCGAAAACACCACAUCAGAAAACAUCCCACAACCAAGUACUAGUUUUUCUUCCUUGAGUGCACAUACACCUACAGUUCCUGCUGAAAGGUUGUCAACCACCAAACGACGCCUCGCCAGGACCCCUUCUCCAGCACCACCAACCAAAUGACCGGAGAUGAAGUUGCGAGAAUAUGCCGAGAAAGAGCACCAUCUGAAAAUGGCCCAUCUUGAAGAAGAACAUAUUAUGCAAAAGCAAGUGAUUGAGCUAAUAAAACAAUACCAGGUGUCAAGUCCAGUUUGAAGUGAAGAGUUCAGUGAUUGAUGAGAUGAAGAAAUCAAGUUAAUUCAUAAUAGGUUGAAUUUACAAAAGUGUAUUCACGGAAAUAGUGAUCCAAUUGUGUAACUUCUAUUGUGUAAAUAGUUGAAUUGAGUGUAUGGAAUUAUUUGUGUUUUUAAAGGGUAACUAUAGAAAUAUUUAAAUAGUACUUAAAUAGAAUACAUUUAAGAGCUGCUCUAAAACGUGGUAUGAAUUGUUGUAUCCAGAUACUACUGCUGACUUCAAUAAAAAAUGUUCUGUUUAUUGUUCUGACUAUGAUUGUAGCAAUGUAAAGAAACCCACAACCUCUACAGUUGUGAGUAGCAAGAGGUUGAUUAAAGAAAGAGGGAGAGAUACAGAGGGACAAUGAGCUUUGGAAAGGUAAACUCCACAGUUCAGGGCCCUUGCAGCUGAAAGCUGGUACUGAGUUCAGCUUGCUUCUUCCAUUCAUGAAUGGGGACUUCAUUCAACUUCUCUCAACAAUGCCACCCAUGCAAGGACAUGAAUGCUUUCUGUUCACCAAACCCAAUGAUGAAUUGACCGAGCAGCACUCAACUCACCUGGUUGUGAAAAGAAAGUUCUGUCUUCUUUAAUCCCAUUUAUAGUUGGAGAGAUUUGAUGGUUCUUCCGCUUUAUGAAUGAAACAAAUCCCUCUACUCCCUUUACAUGUUAUUUUCAUUCAUGAACAGACAUUAUCAAUACUGCUUUCUGUUCUCAUAUACUUGUGCUAAACCUAGUGGUGCAAACAUUAAAAUUAUACAAAGAAGAACUUCAUCAUACCUUACUUUUGGCGCAUUCCAAACAAUAAUUCUGAAGUGACUAGAGUAAGGCCUAAUCUCUAAUUACAGCUAUCUCCUUCUUUAAAAAGUUGUCAUCAGGGGAGUCUGUACAAAGUUUCCUUCCCCUGUUUAAGACAUUGAAAGGCAGGGGAGAAUUGCUGGGGCUAUUCAAUAUGUGCACCGUCCUACAUGUACAAUACUUAAAUAUCACAGGAUACCAUUUCCUUUACAAUGUUCUGUUUUCUUGUGAGAAAAAACUUUUAAUGUUGGAUUGUGGGACCAAACAAUGGAAAAUGUAGAAAGAAAAACUAAAGGCAAACUUACUGUUUCAAUGUGUCUUGGUAUUUCUUACGGUCAGUAGUGAGAUAUUGGGCCAAGAACUGAAAGGGAUACUCCCACAUGUAACUAAUAGGUUGAUACCAGUUGAAUCUCUGACUGGAGACUGUAAAGAGCCAGCCCCAUUAAGGUUUGCGGCAGCUGUCAGAUUCACUCUGCAGGCAAAGCUUUGCAGUUACUUUGUUCCUUCAGCCUAAACCUUUAUCUGACUUAUCUUUCAUUAAGAGCCAAGAAGCAGGCCCAAUAAACAAGCAGCAAAGGAUAUGACCUCCACUUCUCUCUUUUCUUAACAACAGCUGCUUAAUACAUAACAACACAAAUCUCCAUUAUCAGAAUGAAGUUGUCUCUCUUUGAAAUGAAUUGAACAUUAGGAAAACCAGCUGGUAUGUGAUCUAAUUGUCAGUUGCUAAAUCACCUUGUGCUGCACCAUUGGCAUUGAUUCUCUUCAAUUAUAAGAAAAAAACCAUGCAUAACAUUUCAGUGCUUUGAGUGGCAAAUUGAGGCAGGAAAUAUGAUGAGGCACAAAUCAAAGUCUGAGUGGAAAUUAAAGU
Leucoraja erinaceus (little skate) is the source of this 3766-nucleotide long non-coding RNA. RefSeq lists it as uncharacterized. Lineage: Eukaryota; Metazoa; Chordata; Chondrichthyes; Rajiformes; Rajidae. The transcript is spliced from 3 exons. The record is from RefSeq and is a predicted model, not a curated record.